CAUACAUAUAUAAAGCAAGAAACAACAUGCUCAAUCAGCCACAAGUGAAGAAACAACUUGCUGAUACAUAACCACAUGACAUGAAAAUUUCAUGCAAAUAACUAGUAAUUAUAAUGGAGUCACACUAGAAGCUGCUGCAAAAUGAGUUGGUGUCCAGAACUCUUAUUUCUAGCAAGCAACUGGCUCUCUCUCAUUUAUUCUAACUCACUAGUUGAGAUGGACAGGUGGAGUUCAGGGCUUCUGGGGUGGAUUGUAGUAUGGGGGAGGCUUCUUCUUAUAUGGAGUUGGAGGAGGAGGAGGUUUCUUCCCUUCUGGCUUUUGUGGGGGUAGAGGAGCCUUGAUUGGAGGAGGGUGUUUAGGGUAACUAGGUGUGAUUGGUUUCACAACAGGAGGUAGAGUUGGUGUCUUAGGAUAAGGUGGUGGAAGUGGCUUGGUCACCGGCGUAGGUGGCGGUGAAUGUACAAUAGGAGGCUGAGUGCUUGGUGGUUUGCCAUAAGGUGAGGAUGGUGGUGGCCUCACCACUCUAGGAGGCAGAGUUGGUGGUUUGGGUUUGGGCACUAUUGGUGGUGAUGGCUUGUUAUAAACUGGGGGUGAUGGCUUCUUGAUGGGAGCUGGGGGCUUGUAAAUAGGAGAAGGAGUUGGUGGUUUGGGUUUGGGCACUAUUGGUGGUGAUGGCUUCUUGAUGGGAGCUGGGGGCUUGUAAAUAGGAGAAGGAGUGGGUGGCUUGGGUUUUUCAUUGUACUCAGCUAGAGAUGAAGUGAUGAGAACCACCAGGCCAAACAAUAGCACAAGCAACUUUGAGUAACUCAUGGUGUUUGUGUUUUUGUGAUGGUAUAAGAUCUAGACGGCAUCGUUUGCUAUUUAUAGUGCUCUCAGGCCUGUGUCGGCAAUACGUGUCAAAAGAUCUUGGUCAUUUUGUUUCAUAGUUAACAGUCAAGGAUUUUCAAAUUCAUGAGAAGAAAAGUACGAUUUUUUUGGCUGAAUAAAAGUUUAGAAGAGGGGAGGCUACACCAUCUUAGAGUUAGGACAUAUCAAAGUUUUCUUGAGGAUUUACAGAGGGGGUUUUAGUCUUUUUUUUUUGUUUUUACAGAUUAUCCCCCAAAAAGAAUUUUCGGCAACAGAACCCGAAUCUAAGUCUUGAUAGCAAAGAGAAUGAUCCUUAUCAACUCAACCAACCCUCGUUGACAGAGAAGUAAGAUUUUCAAUUGGUACGGAUGAUUGUUGAUAUAAGUGUUGUUGAUAGAGAAUCCCAAGUAUAAAUGGUAAAUUCUCUUAAUCAUUUGAGCAACAAAUUCUUUAUAAGUAAUUUGACUGAUUGAUUAUUGAUUGCAAUAAUGGUAAGUGUAAAUAAAAAUUGAGUAGUAUUUAAUGGAAAAUGACAUGACAGUAUUUUACUAGUUGAAAAUAGAACCAAGUUGUCGGUGUAGAUAAAAACAAAUGAUUCAGUCUUCCAAAAUGUGGAGAUUUGAAUUUGUGUUCGUCUAGCAUUAAUCUUUUAAAAAGAUUUUGGAUUUUUAUGUGAAUUUAAGUUAAUUUGAGUCUACAUUAUGCGUUCCAUGGUCUAUAUAAUUUAGACUGGUUUAAUUUUCCACAUUGAAUGACUUUUGUAUGUGGACUUUUCCCCCCAUCUUUCUUUAUUAUUGUCCUCUCCUCCGUUGUCGUUAGUUUUGUCACUUAUCAUCCUUGUGGUGUGAUGAUAAUUGGAAACGAGUGUUUCUAUUCUCGUUUCCCAAGCUAUGUUAUUAAAAUCUAACAUGAUUUGCAAAGGAUUCAUUAGGGUAGUAAUUUGGAGUAUUUAUUUCCUCAGGUAAGUUCUGGGUUCGAGUCGUAGUAUCUGUGUAGUGUGUGAGAGUUUAGCAUGCUAUUGCCCCUCUCAAUAGGAAAGGUCCUAAAAAAAAUCUAACAUGGUUUAUAUUGGUAUCAGGACUCUUCCAAUGGGACUACUGAGGGAACUGAGGCCAAGCCAUUGAUAUGUCAGCUUAGCGUUAAUGAAGAAAUAAAUAUAUUUGCUAACCAAGGUGGUAUGGGACUAGUGUGUAAGUAAAUGCCUUCUUCAUUGGGCUAGACUCUGUUAGCAUUAGGCAUUAAAACUUAAUAUCUCUUCCAACGGUGAAAAAAGAUGUAUCACUGAAUCACUAUAGGUACGGUAUUAUUUCACUUUCAUCUUUUACUAUCUAUUUUCAACGUACUAUAUCACUAUUGGAACAAUGCAAAAUUUCUGGAAUCAAUUAGGGAACAAAGGUGUGAAUAUUAUAUCUCCGUUCCCUUUUGUAAUAAAAUAUGUAUAGAGUUGAGCAAUGGUCACAAAAUUCGUUGCUUUCCAAUAGAUUGCUAUUUCAUUUCUGGUUAAAUCGUCUUGUAGUGGAAAAAACUGAGUCUUCAGCAGCCGCGUUUCUUGAUUUCUCUCAUGGAUUUGGUGAAUUUGAUGGCUGCUUGCGGACCAAUUAGCCGAAGGACAUGUGCUCUCUAUCUAACCCCGUCAUAGUCUGUAUAGCUCUACCUAAAAGGUAAAAAUCAGAGAAAGGAGAGAUCGGACUUGCGACCAAAUAUAUAGUGAGACACAUUACAAGAUUCUUGAAAGAUCUUGAGCCUCUCGAUCUAAAUUGGUUUUGAUUUGGAUGUUCAUAUUUUAUAUUCUAUAUAUAUAUAAUAACGUAAUAUAUUUACUAAUCUUGUUUUUACAGAAAAUUGUUAAGGAUUAUUGCAAAACGAAAGUGUAUUUGUUUAUUUGUUUGGGUUAUUCCCACAAUGUUCAUCCCACCGCCGCGUAUUUUGCUUUCUCUAUAGUGGUUAGGUCCAUUCACGUCAAUAUUAUAUUCAAUCUAAUUUUAGCUUUCAAUUACCAGUGUCCACUCGGUUUUCUUGACGUUUUGAUGUCAUGUAUUGGACCCGAAUAUCGGAUAUCAUCUGUCUCUUCCGCUGAUGAAGGGAUAAAUGCCAUCGAAUCAGAAGAUCUUACUUUUCCAAGGGGGCUUUUCUCUUGUCUCCUCCCAAUCUUCGUCGACUAAGAUCUUACUUUUCUUUUUCUUCUUUUAUAUUUCUACCUUCUUAAUCACUGUACGAAGGGAGAAUUUAUCAAAAAUAGCUAAAAUUUGACUCUUAAUUUCAAAAAUGUUAAUUUUUGUAAAAAUUUCAAUAUAACAGAAAACUCACUUAAAUAGAUACAAAUGUCCUUAAAUUUAAAACUUACAUAAACCUAAAAAAGAAACCUUAUUAAAUAAAACUUUGAAAUAUUUCCUCCAAACACUUUUCCAAUCACCUCUAUUUCUUUUUCUCUUUUUUUUUCCUUCUUCCGUUUGUCUCCAGCAUCACUCCCUCUCUUUUCCUUUUUUUUUUUCUUUCUUCUUCUCUCCACAUAUAUAUAUAUAUAUAUAUAUAUAUAUCUAUCUAUCUAUCUCUCUCUCUCUAUCUCUCUCUCUCUCUCUCUCUCUCUCUCUCUGUGCAUAUCUCUAUUCUUCUUCUCUCCCAUUUUCUCCAAAUAAAAUGUAUGUAUUUAUUUGGCAAAAAAAAAAGUAUUUAGAACCAAAAAUUCAGAAAAUGAUUGAAUCAAUGCACAAGUAUAAUUUCCUCCUCUCACCCAAAAAAAAAUAUUUAUUUCACAUAACUUUAAUUCUUCAAAAACUGUCACAAAUUUAGAGGUAGUCUGUAGAACAAAAAAUUCAAUAAAACGAUCUACAUUAAAAAAAUAUAUAAUUAAAUAUUCAUUCAUUACAAUUCAUAAAGUUAAAGAGAAAAAUAUUACACCAGUCCGUCUAUGAGGUAGGAUGAAGUGCAAUUGAAUUCUUGGAAGUUUGUCAAUAAUGGCCAAUUGAACCACAUCUUGAACACUUACGAGUUGAUGGUUCUUCUCCUCGUGAUGGGAUUCUCUUUUCCUCAAGCCUGCCGUGCCUUCUUCGUGUAAUUGGUGGUAGCACAAUUCUAUCUCGUACAUCAUCAAGCACCACCCAAUCUGUUUGAUCCCCAACUAGCCAUAUAGAUUCUGCAUCCGCAAUUACCAAUGAGUUUGUAGUAUAAUAUUUUGAACACAUUGGGUAGCACGAAAUUUGUCAAUGCGUACAUGCAGCACAAGCAUCUUCUGCUACACAUAUGUCAGAAUCAUCAUAUUACUAGACUCAAUAAUUUUCCAAGCCUAUCAGCACUAACCUUUGAUGCAGGCUCAAAGUGAAUUGACGAUAUUAAAUCAUAGCACUUUGAAUAGGGCUCAAGAGUCCAUUAACAGAAAUGUCGCAACUAUGGACAUUAAGUUAGCAAAACCAGAAUUGAAAUUUUAUAAAUAUAGUAUGAAGAAUAAACGAAGAAACGAAGUAACGAAGAAGAAAUUGAACGAAGAACCAAAGAAGAACAGCACUCUACGUACAAAGAUUCUCAAUCUAAUAGGGUUUUGUUUUUUAGGUUUAUGUUGGUUUUAAAUUUAAGGGUAUUUGUGUCUAUUUAGGUGAGUUUUCUUCUAUAUUUGAAAUUUUUUAUAAAAACUAACAUUUUUGAAAUUAGGGGUCAAGUUUUGGCUAUUUUUGAUAAAUUCUCAUACGAAGGAUUAUCUUUUAGGUGUGAACCUUAAAACACCAUUGGAUGAGAUUUAUGAUUCGUGUAGGAAAAAAAAAUCAAAGGAAGAAUGAGGAGAGCGAUGUUGAAGAAUAUUGAAGUCCCACAUCAGAAACUUAACAAAAUAAUCAAAUACUCCAUAUAAUGAAUGAUUCCACUAUUAAUAAUAUCGAGACUUUUUGUAUAAAAUUUCACAACUGCUAAACAAAUGGUUAAAUUAAAGACAAUAUUGAUAUUAUUAGUAGUGGGUCAUGAGUCCCGAAUAAUUCAAGGGUCAUGAGUCCCGAAUAAUUCAAGGGGAUGGUUUGAAAAAUUCAAUCUAAUUCUGGCUUUCAAUUACUAGUAUCCACUCGUUUUUCCUGAUGUUUUGAUGUCAUGUACUGUUUGAUUUUCAAACUAAUUAUGGGAUGGUUUGAAAAAUCAAACUAAUUAUGGGAUGGUUUGAAAAAUCAAACUUAGAGAAAGCAACCCUUACUGCCUAGAAAAAGAAAAAGGUUAGCCGGCCCUAACUUCUCGUUAAGGAUAAAAAUUUGAACCGGCAAAUCAGUGAACCGGAACCGAAUCUGCAUGAACUGGCUAUAUUUAUAUCUAGUUUUUAAUUUAUUUUUACAGAUGUCUUGUUCUCAUUGUUUUUUUUUUUUGACCUUUCCUAUUGAAAGGGGCGAUAACAUAUUAAACUCACACACACAACACGGAUGUCUUGUUAUCAUUGUUGAUUCUAUACAAUUAGUACAAAGUAAUUUAACAAACAAAGCAAUUUUCUAAAACGGUCCUCCUUUUUUCUCCUUCUAUGGUUUGGUCCUCCUAAUCUAUUCACGGCAAUACUUUGGGCACUGAGGUGAUUGAGCAUAGCCAUUGACAAUAAUACAAUUUAAAGUCUUAAACUCUAUACUUAGCUUAGGGUUAAGUAUUCCAUUAGUGGCAGAAUGUUAAGGCUAAAUAUACGCUAUCUUAAAAAGUCAACCACAAUUAUAUAUGUAACGCACUAUAAAUAUAAAAUGGGGUUAAUGACCUAAAUGGUCUUUCAACUAUUGCUCCAUUAUCAUUUUGGUCCACCAACUAAAAUUUUCAAUUCAAACGUCCUCAAACUUUUUAUUUUGUACCAAGAUGGUCCAUCCGUGACAGAUUCUGUUACUUCUGAUCACGCGAUGGCCACGUGACUGAGUUUUGAAGGGUAUAUGCAACUUUUUGAGAAGCUUUAUCGAAGGGUAUCACUAAAAUGGUCCAUCAACUGUUGCUUCAGUAUCAUUUUGGUCCACCAACUAAAAUUUUCAUUUGAACUGUCCUUCUACUUCUUUUUUUUUUCUUUUUUUUUUGUUAUCAAGAUGGUCCUACUAUCAAAGUCCAUCAAUUUUAUUGUUAUUUAAUUUUGUAUUUAUCUUAUUUUAAAAUUUUUAAUUAAUUUAAACAAUAGAGAAAUAAAUAUUACUUUUUAAGUCCAUGUCAUAAAAUAAAAAAAGCCAUGUUGGUGGUGAGAUUCAAUUUUUUCAAUUUUAAAAUUAGGUACAAGUUCCUAUAAUAGUUUCCUUUAAUUUUAAUUAUUAUUUUCUCUUUUAAAAAAUUUGUUAUUAUAUAUAUGUGAUUUUAAUUAAUUUAAACAAUAGAGAUUUUAUUAUUAAUUGUUAGGUCAGUGUCAUAAAAAAAAAAAAGCCAUGUGGCUAGUGAGAUUCAAAUUUUUAAAAUUUUUUAAGUUUUAUAAUAGUUUCCUUGAUACCAAAAAAAAAAAAAAGAGUUGAAGGAUGGUUCAAAUGAAAAUUUUAGUUGGUGGACUAAAAUGAUACUAGAGCAAUAGUUGGGGGACCAUUGUGAUCAAUAACCCUUUUAGAAGAGGAUACUCACCUAAAAAUACGGUUUUGUCCCUCGAUUUCACGGAAUAAUACACAGACUUUGACAGAUGGACCAUCUUGGUACAAAAUAAAAAGUUUAAGGACGUUUGAAUUGAAAAUUUUAGUUGGUGGACCAAAAUGAUAAUGGGAGCAAUAGUUGGGGGGACCAUUUAGGGUCAUUAACCCAUAUAAAAUCGUUAAGGGUAAUGUUAUACUAGAUCCCGAGUCUAUGCAUUUAGAGUCCACGCAUUUACCCGUAUUUGACUUCAUAUCAACCAUUACAAAGAUCCAACGACUUAAAAUAUGAUAGAUCAUUAUUACAUCAUAAAGUUUUAUUUUUCUAACUGACGUUACUGUUACCAUUUCCUCAAAGCCUUUCUCCCUUGCUUGUUCUCUUCCCUCUCUAAUCUCUCUCAAUUUUUGCUUCUCAUGAAUAUCUACUACCCAGCAUCAUAAAUUGAAUUUCCUAUUUUUAGUACAAUUUCAAUCAAUUCCCCCAUUGCCAAUUGGUUUUGGAGUGUAACCUCAACUUCCUUCACUUAUGUCCUCAGGCUCUCUCCAGUUUGUAUUGUUUGCUUUUUGGGUUUUGUGUAGGUGAAGGAAGUUGAUAAUUGAGUCUGAGAGCGUUUAUGGUGGCGAGAAAGCUUUGUUUCAAUGGAUGUUCUUUUUUUGCAAUGUCUGUUGAUUUGGCUUCCUCGUUUUUAGAGAGACAGAGUUAAUGGAAGGACUAAUGUUAGUUUAGGGAAGAAAAAAAAAACUAAAUUUCAUAACCGACACGUGGUAUAAAAUGUAGAGAUGCCAUAUUAUGUGAUAUAAAAAUGUGGUAAGACUAAUAUUAUUGUAACCGUAAUCAUAUGAUUCAAACUUGAAACCUCAUUCAACUAAGUGAAGACAACUACCCAAAAAAUCAUAAACUAAUUGACAUAAAAACUAUUUAUUAUAAACAAAUUUUGAAUCCAUAUUUUCUGUUAAAUAUAGAUGUAGGACUAGGGUUAAGUAUUAAGUUGGAUGAUAUUUUUGUCUUUUUACUAUAAUUAUUCUCUCUGCUGCUACGGGAUGGGUUAAGGCCUCCCUUGCUGCUGUGAUUAAGGUGGAUAAGGUGCAUUCUUUUAUCUAUUGGAAACCUCCUCGCCCUGCUCAGUUUAAACUUAAUGUUGAUGGGUCUAGAUGCACUUCCUCUGGAUGUAUUGGGGCUGGGGUUGUGAUUCGUGAUGCUUAUGGGGGCGGAUUGGUGGUUUUUCAGUGCACCUUGGCCACAGACAUAUCUUGGAUGCUGAAAUUUGGGGGUUAUAUUUUGGCCUUAAGCUUGCUGUGACUAAGGGUAUAAGCUGCCUUAUUAUUGAAAUGGAUGCUGCUGUGGUUGCCCAACUAGUCAAGAAUAUUGAUGGUCUGGCUCACCACCCCUUUGCUUUACUGAUUAAUGUUUGCUGUGCUCUCAUGCAACAAUUUGCAAAUAGUUGCACUCUCCUUCAUAUUUACAGAGAAGGAAAUUGUGUGGCUGACGGUUUGGCAAAUUGGAGUUACAACUUAGACCUGGGUAUCCUUUAUUUUAAUGAAGCUCCAAAUGUGUCAUAUCUUAAUUCAUUAGAUUAUUAGAACGAUGGGUAAAUGCACACUAUCUAAAUGCAGAGGCUCAGAAUCCGCCUAGUUUAAACUUUUAAGCUAUUUAUAUAUAUAUAUAUAUUUUAUAGAGAUGGACCAAUCAUAUUGAAUUAAAAAAUAACUAUAGUAUUUAUGAUUCCCUAAACUAUGGAGUAUGAUUAGAGUUCAAAUUUGGUAGAGAACUCCUAAAAUAACUUUUAUGUGUUUUUAGCUAAAUUUUAGACACACAAAACUGACCACAUUAGCCGACCACCUUAUGUGGCAGCUGAUGUGGUCAUGCCAUAUUUUUAUCUCACAUUUCCAUACCACAUAAUGUGGCAUGUCCAUAUCAUAUGCCACAUCAAUUAAAUCAAUAGAGUGUAUUUUAAUUAAGACAAUUAGAAAAAAAAAUACUGGAAUAAAUCAUAAAAGAAAAGAAAAUAUUAAAUACUUUUAAUUGAUGUGGUUAUCCACCUCAGCUGCCACAUAAGAUGGUAUAAGGAUGUAGUAUACAAAUAUAGUAAGAGUAGCAUUAUUCUUUCAAUAUAGUAAUCAUCGUUUAGAGAAAGAGUAAGGCUACACUUACUAUAUUUUUAUACCACAAUCCUAUACUAUAUGAUGUGGCAAUCCACAUAAUUAAGCUGACACGUUAAUAAAUUGUGAUAAAAGGUAUUUAAUAUAUUAUUAAUAAUAAUAAUUAAUAUAAUAUAUUAUUAAUUCAACAAACAAUUUAGGGUUAAGUCUUUAUUUAUUUAUUUAGUUCGCAUAAUAGGGUUAAGCCUUUUAUUGAUGUUCUAUUAUGUUCGUCUCUUUCUCUUGCCAGUUUUUUGGUCGGCUUGUUAAUAAAUCACCUACUGUUUUUUUUUUUUUUUAAAAGAAAAAGAUUUCAUUCAUAAGCCAAAACGGCAUACAAAGACUGACAUUAAUUCAUUAGCCUCAUUAAUACCUUCAUAGGAAAACCACUUAGGAUAAACCCCAAGGUAGGAAAGAGUACCACCUAUGUCAAUGACUAACAAGAGAGUUUGACCCAGACCACAAAAGACAGUUACAAGAACAGAAAAAAAAAUCCAACUAAACACCAACAGAGUGGACUCAACUGUCAAAAGAAGCCUUCUAUGAAAAAAACUCUUAGUCCUUUGACUGCCCAUGAACUGCAAAAACACACCAAGGAUAGAAACCCAAGAGAGCAUACGGAGGAAGAGCACAAAAAAAUAACAAGAGAGGCCCUGAAAAGCACCCCAACUCAACUUAGAACCUGACAAAGAAACUUCUAUGACCAAACAUAGGUCUUCGGGCAGCGCAGAGCAGAGACGAGCUGCAAAGGAGCAACAUAACAAUGGAAAAUGACAGCAAAACAGAACACAUCCCAACAACUACCAUCAGUGUCUGUCGCUGCCAUCAAAACAUAGACAAAACAUUAGCCACCAGGUAUCACAACGCUCCCGAAAAAAGAUCAAAUCCAGCGUCACUACUGCUGCCGUCAUCGAGACAGAGACAACACCAGCCACUUACACCACUGCAAAAACAACUAAAUAAAACAAACAGACCUAGAUCCAAACAUAUCAAGGCUAAAAACCCAAGAUCUAAUUAGAUUUGGGAGGAGAAGAGGAAGGGGAUAGAAGGGCCAGCAAGAGCCCCUAGGAAAGUGGGAAGAGAGGGAGAGAGGAGGAAAUGGAGGGAAAAAGAUGGGAAAAGAGGAGAUGAAGGGAGAUGAUGGGCAGUGGCCACCUCCCAUAGCUUAGGAAAGGGUGGUUGUCGGCAAGGAGAAAGAGGGAGGGUUUUGGCUAGGGUUUACUUUGCUAUCUCUUUUGCGUAGCAAUAAAUCACCUACCGUAGGAGUUGCAUAAAAUCCGAUUGCAAAUCCUAGAACUCCCAAAAUCAGAUCGAAUCGUGGCUUAAUUAGCAUCUAUAUGGUCAUAAACAGAUGAAAUCAUGGGUAUUGAAAAAUGAUAAUGAUAUAUCAAAUCUCCUAAAAUCAUCCUUGUCGGUAGAGAAGUUUCAGCGUUGUUCAACAAUUGAAGAUGAGGGUAACACAUUUAAUUCAUUAAUGAUAAGAGCAUUUUAAUACAUAUAACUUGUCUUCCCUAAAAUUACUCUUGCUAGCAUUUUAUUUAGCUUACUUUGCAUUAAUUAUGUUGUUUUUGUCAAUUGGGGUGUUUUGGAAGAUUUCAAUAAAAAAAUAAGGAUAUUUUAGUGCUUAUUAUUCUUGAAUUUGCACAUGGCAGCAACUUUGGGGAGCCAGCAGCUAGAGGAAAUCAUUCAUGUGUGCAGCGAAUGAAAGGCAAUAGGAAUUAAAAAAGAUGGCAAGACUUGCUACACCUUCUGACCAAGGAAGAAAACCCACGUGCGCGAGCAGCCAAAGCCAAAGUAAUGUGUGCAGCAACAAAUGAAAAAGAAAAGGAAAAAGUAUAAAGAAUGAUGUUGGCUGACAAAAGAUAUGAAAUUCAAAUGCCAAUAUGCCUACACGUGAUGAGCAGAGAAAGAUGAAGAAAAGAAAGAGGAAUGGCAGCAGCAAGUUGAAGACCAAUUGGAAGACAUAUGAUGUACAGCAGCCAAAAGAAGAAUGAAAAUGAAAAUAAUGAGAAAGAAUGUUGAGCUGCAGCUUACACGUGAAGAAAGCAAAGGAAAGCAUGGGUAUUUGUGUUCAGCCAAAAGAAGAAGGAAUAAAGCGAUGUUGAUGUAAUAUAACCCACGUUGGUGAUGGGUUAAUGGCAGCUGCAAGAGGAUCUCAUUCCUCUAUAAAUACAGAGCAAUGCAAUGGAAGAGGUGUGCAGAAUUUGGGCACCAAAUAGAGAUAGUGUAGUCCAGUGGAGAAAAGACCCUGGGGAGCAGAGAGGCAAGAAACCAGGGGCAUCUGCCAUUUUAGUUUUUCUUUUUUAAGUUUUCAGCUAGUUUAUAGGGAUAAGGAAAAUGCCAAUAUAAUUGGAGAGAACCUUGGGGAGUCGUGAGGCAACGAUCCAAGGGAUUGAUGAUGCAGUUUCUCCUUCUCUUCCAUGUUUUAGUUUUAUUUCUUCUUUGAGUUUUCAUAUUGUUUUUAUUUUCACUUAUAUCUAGCUAAACUCCUUUAUUAAGGUUGAGGGGGAAACACCAUUAUGAAAUAAAGUUUUAGUUUUUAUUUUUCAAUUCCCAACUAUUAUAUUCUUCAAUGUUUAUAAUUUCACUUCACAUGAUUAAUAAAUUAAUUUUCUUUUCACCACUUCGAUCGUGUAUUUGUGGUAGUUCAGAAUUUAAGUUAAUCUAUUAAUGCAUCCUUGAUUUUGUAUUACUAGUAUACACAUAUCUUCGAUCAUUUGUAGUUAAAUAAUAUUUUUCACAUAGGAUGUUCAGAAUUUGUACUUAUGAAGGGAAGGGGAAUUUAUAUAAGAGAAUUUAUAUAAGAUUCAUUAAAAUGCAUGUUUAAUUGAUAUAUCUUGAGAAAGCAGUAAAUUGAUUCCUAGAUUGCUACUCCAGAGAAUUGUUAGAUAGAUAAUUAGAGUUUUAUAGAAUAAUGGCGUGUAAUCUAAAACCUUAGUUAUUUUUCUCAUUCAUUUAAUCCAUUCUAGUUAUUAUUUGCAUUUUUAAUUUUUAUGCUUUAUUUAAUUUUCUUUUCAACCAACAAAUCAACUUUGAAUCAACUAGGUUAGCGAUUGAAUUAAAUUGGGUUGGAUUAGUUUCCAUCAUUUUCACACAAGUAUUAUAAAUUUAAAACAACACAUUUGGGUGGACAACAAGUUUAAAGUAUUUAUAAAAUAAAGCAACAUUAUUUAUAGAGAACCAAUAUGAGUUCUUUCUCUUUUCUUGGAUUUAGGAGCUCCUAAAAGUCUCUCUAUUUUAGAAGGUGGAUAGGGAGCAUGAUUGAAGUUGUAUUUUUCAUAUUCCUCUUUAAAAUUUGUCUAAAGAUAAGGGGAACAAGAUUUGUUAUCCCCAAUUUUCAUGUCCCAUUGUGUUCCUUUUUUAAAAUUUUAACACCUGUCUAAAUAAUUGACAAAACUUUAACACUGUCAAGUUUUAUUCAAAAACCCUAAUAAAUAUAAACAUCGUAAUAGCUCUUCUUCUUCACUUUUAAUCUUCUCUUCACAGCCAAACAUAUCCAAAUUAUCUCAAGGAAGAACCACCACAUAGCUACCAAUGCGAAUCCCUUGUAACCAACCAAAAUCGUUCAUCUUUCCCAUAUGGGAUGAGAUUCAGAAGGUUCUUCAUAGCUUUGAAGUUGAUGACGGCGGAAGAAGACGUAAGCACCUUUGAAAUUGCAACAAAAGCAUACUGCAGAUUUUUCUUGCUAGAAGAUUUGAAAUUAAUGUUUUGUUUUUUGUUUUUUUUGUUUUUUUUUUCACAAAAGAUGGUAUUUCAUUCAACCGAAUUAUGGAAAUAUAUAGAAAAAGAAAAAUACAUUAAAUGUUCGGUAUUUUUUUGCUCAAUUAGUGAUUUUGAUUAAGAUUGAAAAGUAUUAUUUAGACAGGUGUCAAAAUUUUAGAGAAUAAGGAGCUCGCAUUUUCCUUACUUCAAGGCCCAACCUCACUAUUUCAUCUUUGAUCGACGAGUAAUUAUCUAUAUAUAUAUAAAGCAAAAGGUAGAGAAUGGUGAAACAUUUAAAUUACCAGAAAAUGUCCAUAGUUAAUGCAAAUAUUAAGAAUUGAAAUUAUUAAUUAAAUGAGAAUAAUAUGGUAAAUUCACAUUUUUCAUAUUAAAAAAAUUAAAAUUAAAAGAAAAAUCAGAUAAUGGAUCCUAUUUUUAUGAAACACAACUACCCAUUAUUUUUUUUAAUUCUAAAAUAAAUUUAAAUUUAUUGAAAAAAAACCUCUUGCAGGCGCGGAAGCGCUUGUGGAGAGGCUAGUAUUACAAUUAUUAACAUAAUCUAUACCACGUUCCACUAACUUUAUACCACGUCUUUUAAUUUGAUUUUUUCCUCUACUGAUUCAGUGUUACUGUAUAUUACAUAGACACAGUAUCAUUAAUAAUUUGACAAUAUUGUACCGAUAUUUGAUAUAUCGAUCAAAUGUCAAUAAUGUGGUACAAAAUAUUGUAAAUUGUUACCAAUUGGUACGAGUACACCAAUUUACAACACUUGAUACAAUGUUAUUGAUAUAAUUAACAUUGUACUAUGUCAACAAUAUUGUACAAAGUAUUUGCAUGGCGUAAUGUUAUUUGCUAAAGAUAUUUCAAAGAAGCUAACAAGGGCAUUGCUUUGUAAAUCAGUGAUCUCAAGUUCGAACCUUAUGGCACAUUUGUAGUAUGUGCGUGAGAACAGAACAUUUGUAGUAUAGUUGGUCAUCCAAAUAAAAUGAAACCAUAGUUAGCCCAGAUAACAAAACUAUUGUUAAGCACUAACAAAAAGCACCUCCAAACUCAAAUCUUUUCACAAAAGGCAAAAUGAGAACAAAAUCUACAUCAAAUAUUUCAAAAUCAACUUCUCAAACCAAAACAUAACUACAAAAGUGAAAAAAGAAUCUAAUCUAGAAAACACAUACCUCACCAGAUGAAAAACAGAGCUUUGCGUGAGAAGAAGGAAUAUGAGAGAGAGAGGGUGUCAUCAUAGAUGAAGCAAAUAAGGAAUAGGAGAGAGAGAUGGCAUCGUUAUGUCGUCGAUGGAGCGAAGAAGGAAGAUGAGAGAGAGGGCGUCGUCGUCGAUGAAGUUAAUAAGAAAAAUGAGAGAGAGAGAGAGAGAGAGAGAGAGAGAGAGAGAGAGGCUGAGAUCUGGUUUUAAACAAAAGGGUAAAAUUAUAUUCCACCUUUAUAAUUUAGACAGGUCCAAUGAAUAUGGGCCUCUUAUUUAGGCAUAUCCAAAACAAAAUUUGAUUCAUAGGUAUUAAAACCCAAACAAAAAUUUCUCAAAUCCUAAUUAGUAAAGAUUGUAAUGCCUAAUACCUAAUUUUUCUUAACUUUUAGGAUAAUGCUAUAUGGCACAUUUUUAAUACCAUCUCACCUGGCAGUUGAGGUCGACAUUCAACUCAUUUAAAUUAUAUGUAUAUAUUUUUUAAGAUAUCAGUUUCUUAUAAUUUUCAUUAAUUCAAAAACUUAACCCUGGAGACUUUUCAAUUUCAUGUUAUCUGUUGGCCUCCCUAAAUUCACUCUCUUCCUUUGCCGUCGAUUCGCCACAUCUUCUGUCACAUUCCGGGAUCGGCUCCGCCGUAGCAUGAUAUUGUCCUCUUUGGGCCCCCCUCUCUGCCCUAACGGUUUUGUUUCUGGCCCCAACUCGCUUAACUUCAGAGUUCCCAUGACUUCGAAGCCAGUGAGCUCCCAAAAGGCCUCGUGCUAGAUGAAGGUGGG
RNAcentral lists this long non-coding RNA (14195 nucleotides) under Prunus persica (peach). Its description in RNAcentral is "long non-coding RNA (PPER_LNC000100)". Lineage: Eukaryota; Viridiplantae; Streptophyta; Magnoliopsida; Rosales; Rosaceae. The record is from RNAcentral.